This is a long non-coding RNA of Pristis pectinata (smalltooth sawfish), 14664 nucleotides long. RefSeq lists it as uncharacterized. NCBI's taxonomy places the organism in Eukaryota, Metazoa, Chordata, Chondrichthyes, Rhinopristiformes, Pristidae. The record is from RefSeq and is a predicted model, not a curated record. The transcript has 7 exons.
UGACACUAAUUACGGAGAUUUUUUUCUCUCUCUCUGUUCAGUGCAGGGUCCGCCCUGGUUUCUGACGCACACAGCUCAAAACGGCGCAUCCUAAUUUUUUUUAUAUAUGUGUAUUUUGCACUUCUUUAAAGAAAAAAUAAGCGAGUCGAAGAAGGAUGCACCAGCUCAGAGGACUGGCGGAACACGGGCACACCAUUUGAACAGUCCCGUCAGUCCGGUUACCAGCCGUGCCCAAUCGCACCAUUGCAACUCCCCACAUCUCUGCCACUUCAUAUGUUACAACCGGAGUCCUCGGCGUUAUCAGAAGCCGGAUCUCCGGCUCCCAUUUUAGCUCUACCCAAGCCUCGUCUUGUACCACGCCGAAGGAGCCUUCGUAAGCUUUCUCCCGUUGAAUCUGAAGCAUCAGUGCACUAUCAAGUGUUUUAAUUUUCCAAAGGGGAGGUGGGGGAGCAUUUAACAACAGAAGAAUAACCUUAAUCCGACUCAGGGAAAUGGAGACAAUUUGACAGUAUCCCGGCCAUGGAGCACUGAGCAGCCGUGCCCCAGGGAGUAGUGCAACAGAUGGUGCUGGGAUCCAUGAAGGGUUCCAGUGAUGUUACCACCGAGGAUGCUACAGCCCGACUGCAGUUUCUCCUCAGUCUUCUCAGGUGCAUGGAGUUGCUGCUCGGCCUGUCGAAUUCUUUCAGCAGUUUAUUUGUUCGCUCCACGUUCCAGCUUCUGCAGUCUCUUGUGUCUCCUGCCUAGCAAAUCAUUCAGUUCAUGGGACAUCACUGACAAGGCCAACUUUAAUUGCCCAUCCAUAAUCGCCCUUGGGAAGGGGAUGGCGAGCUGUUUCCAUGAACUGCUGCAGACCUGGUGCUGCUGGAGAGGGAGUUCCAGGACUUAGGCUUGUGAUCUUUCCAUGCACAAGCUGAAAACCAGACCUGGCCAAAGGAUAAUCAUUGGCCCCUUUAACAUUGAGUCUCUUGCAGUGUCCUCGGGAUGCCAAGAGACUCUUCGUGGCUCUGCGGAUGUGAUUGUGCCAAAACUGACAGGGCUGCACACUGGCCUCAACAGAUGAAGUAAAUCCAGGAGGAAGAGGAGCUUGGCCUCCAAUGCUGACGUUCCUUUGGCUUGCAAUGGUUUCUUAUGAUCAGCAACAAUACAAGGUGAAUAUUUUCACUGAUGCCUGUACGUUCAUGGGUAUGUGCCAGAGCCCCACAUCAAACGGAAUAAUGCUUACCAAGAUUGUUGGAAAAUAGGAUUGGUUCCACCGAGAAAAUCUCACCAAUAAUUACAUUGCCAGAUGUGAUUGGAACAUCUUGAAGAGCCCUGACUUUACCACUGUGCAUGCAGUGGUGUGAUAAGGAUGAUGAGUGGGUAGGUGGGAAUGCAGAGUUGAGGUUACAAUCAGAUCAGCCAUGGUGUUAAUGGUAAAGCAGGCUUGAGGGUCUGAGUGGCCUACUCUUCCUAAUUCCUAUUACCUCCCAGUAGAUUCACUGCCCACCCAUGGUACUCAACUGCACAAAGUUGUAAGGUACUAGGUUCGAUCUCCUGGUUUGUCCUGAGUUAGUUGAUCCUGCUGGGCAGUACCUAGGGCAUUGCAAGUGACCCUGGUACCAAAGGAAUGAGAAGGGGUCAGUAAAGCACUGAGUUUUGGUGGGUGGUAGAUUUGUGAUCCUUGUAUCUGGAAGGAAUCGGACUUGUUCUGAUAUUCUCUGUGGUCAAGUAACCUGUUCACAAUUGCUGAUUGUGCUCAAGUACAAAGAAGUAACAAUAUUGACCUAACAACCUAGGUCUUGGGAUCAAAUCCUCCAGAAUGAAACUGAAUUUAGUAACUCUGGUUCCUUGCAGCUGCCACCAUGUAAAUGUCCUGAGAACGUUACUAAGUUGUUGAAAGAACCCAACUAGUUCUCCAGUCUUUCAGAGAAGGAAGCUUACCAUUUUUUAUGAUAUAUUUAUUAGUUACAUGUACAUUGAAACAUACAGUGAAAUACAUCUUUUGUGUAGAGUGUUCUGGGGGCAGACCACAAGUGUCACCACGUUUCUGGCACCAGUGUAGCAUGCCCACAACUUCGUAACCCGUACGUCUUUGGAAUGUGGGAGGAAACCGGGGCACGCGGAGGAAACCCACGCAGACACGGGGAGAACGUACAAGCUCCUUACAGACAGUGGCGAGAAUUGAACUCGGGUUGCUGACGCUGUAAUAGUGUUAUGCUAACCGCUACACUACUGUGCCUGCAUUUCUGCUCAGUCUUGCCUACAGUACCAGAUUGUUGACUCUUAAAACCCCAGUUGGGGAAGGUCAUGAAGUACUAUGGAUGUUAUCCGUGUCAGAUGAACAAAUCGCUUUACAAAGAUAUAAUUGGACAGAUGAACUGCUUGAGUCUAACUAUUGCUGAAAGCACUAUUCUCUCUGGGAAGAGGCAGUGGCCCAUAUCUUUCUCUUCAAUGCCCAGGUAUAUGCUUCACCUGCAAGGAGGAGCCUACUUGCAGAUUUAAGGAUCUGAUGCCUGUGAUCUUCCAUCUGUGACAGACACUGAGGUGGAAAGUCAGGCUACUUCAAGAGAGAUGUAGAGAUAAUUUCACUGAGUGUAUUUGAGGGAGAGAGAAUUGGGAAGCCUUCCUGCUUGGACGCCCUGGCCCUGGGGGAAGUAAAUCUUUCAAGAUUGCCAUUCCAAAUUGCUGUCAAGCUCACGUGUGCAAACCUGCUUUGACACCCUGUGAGGGCUAUUAGACAAUUGUUUUGCCUUUUUAUACGUGACCUGCUGUGAUGGGUAGACAAGUACCAAUAGUCUUCUACCUAAUACACAUGGAUCUCAGUAAUAACCCCCCCAAACAUUAUCUGUUGUGAGGUCAGUGUCUACCAUCAUAUUUGCUGCUUCAAAUAAUACAGUUGUAAAGCUGACAUUUCAACAAAGUGGCUUAUUUGUUUGUGACCAUACAAGGAGUUUGACCAGAUUGUUCUUGUGUCAUUGUCCUGUUGGGUUUAAUACCAUAAAUCUGAUACCAUGCCUGCCUGAUAGCUGCUUUGGUAGUUACAAAGUCCACUCUGGUACCAUGCCCCUUGGACUAGAAAGAUCCCAGAUGUGUUUUUGCUUCACUGAUCUUGAAUGGAUCAACAGCACCCCGGUUACAGUUGGUAUCUGUGCCCCCCAACCGAGAAAGGGGAAGAAAUUGGCAAAGGUUCCUGCUCCAUAUUGAUCCCCUCUGCUCUGCUCUCCAAACCAAACCCCUUCCUCUUCAGAACCAUCCCCAACCCCACCUCUCCACCCAGAGUAGAAACUGUUGAUAAAGGAUAGGAUUUAUCUUGACUGAUGUUCCAUCUCUGUAGUCAGACUGAGCAUUGGACCCAAAGCAACCACUUGGGCAAGGCACUGGAAGGUAACUGGUACCUGCAGAACCAUUAGCAGAGGUAGCAGCACCUUCAGGACAAGAGAAAGUAGAUCAGGGUCAAGAACCAUGUUCAAAUAUGAUUUUUGGUUCCACCACAGUCUUUUUGGAUAUGAUACCUUUUCCACCUUAACUAAGCUUUAAGGACCAUUUCCUGUCACACAGGUAUUCCUUUUAAGGGGCUUUUUGGAUAUUUCCCAGUUGCCAGCACAAAGCUCCCAACUGACCGAGUCAGACAUAAAUAGGCUGAAAAGUCUGGACAUCAUAAAUUGAUGCAGGCACCAUUAAAAGCAAUGCAGCGUAUUUGAACAGAUAGGUUGUGUGUCAGUUGCUACUGCUGCAAAGUGGCUGUUUUUGCUCUGGCAAUUACUGAGAGAAUUUCAGACCAUUGGAUGUCAAAGUGUUCAUUUAAAACUCCAAUGGUUUCCCGUCAGUACUCUGUGAUGACAUGUUUCUUGUUUUACUGUAAGGGCCUGCAUCUUUCCCAACUUAGAAUAUUCCUCCUUGAGAAAUUUUCUUUCUCCUUCUCUUCCUACCAGCUGUCCGUUGGAGUUAAAUAAAAUGUCAAGUGGGAGGGGAUUUGUUUGGAAAAAUUGCAUGAGUCGGCAAGAGGGGAAAAAAUCCAGAGCUGAAGGGAUGCUCUUUACUAAACCACUGCAUGCUCUAACAAAAUUAACUAGUACUAACCACUCUACUAAUGAUUCUGUGAGGCCUAUUUGGAGAUUUCUGUGUUUCCCAGACCAGUUCCUGUCAGAAUUUACCACAUGGGUUUAAAACAAAAUUCUGGUACCACAGGGACUUGUUUCCCAUGGUCUGAAAACUAUAACCACAAGUGGUUUGUCAUUUGUACUUUAACCCUUUCACCAUCAUGGACCCUUUUUUAAUCCAGGUUUGACCCACUAGGUAGGUAUACCCAAGGCAUCGUCAGAUAGAAGAUGCCCAGGGGUGGUGUCAGCCUGCAUUGGGGUUCAGUACUCUUGUGCAGUCAAUACAUUUCCUGCCAUUCUGUGAAUCCAAAACUAAAAUCAGCUCAUGAUCUGUAACUCUGUGACCUCCCAGAGCAGCAGAUCAUGUCAAUUCAUCCUGCUGUGUUCUGACUAGAUUGGAACCUGAUUCGUGCCUACCUUGUCCAAGGGUUGACAUCUGUCGUACAUUAAGAGCAGGCAUGCAAAGGUCAUUGUGUUGGACCUUACCAUGCCUUUGCCUGGUGAAGAAACUCACAAUGGGACUCUCACAGGAGGGCAAGGAAGGAAGAAAUUCCAAAUCAAAUAUUCCUGCUAUUUCACAACCUCACCGCAGUUGGAAUGUAUUGUUGCACAAGGUUGUUAACUCUUUGAGGACGGAACUGUAUGUUAAUUGGCAUUCUGUGAUCCCACAAUGGCUUUGUCAUUGCAGUACCUGUUGUUGUGAAUGGACAGACCACACCGCCUGGUCUAUGGUUGAACCAUUCAAAGCAGGUCGCAGAUUUGAAUCCAGCCGGUGGUGCUUUAAAGGAUCCAGACCAGGGGUCAAACCGACUGCAACAGGGUGGGUUGGGCUGGAAAUGAAUCAGCCAGGUUUCCCACUGCUAAUGCCAAGGACUGCCUCAGUGACGAUGUGCUAUACCUGUACAUAUAAGAGAGAGAUCACUGAUGCAACAAUAAAUGGUAUAAGGAGUGGAACGUAAUAUCAAGUGAUGGGAGGAUCAGGAUUGGCUGUAUUGACCGAUCACCAAGCCCCUUCGUCACCCCUCCAUAGAUAGGGUUGCCAACUGUGGAUGUCACAUGAUCGCUUGGCUCCAAUUGCAUUGCCUAUCCCUUCCACUCUCAUCAUUGGUCAGUAUUGUGGUACAGCUCCUUCCUGCCCCAUCAGAAAAUUAAUAGAUUCCCUAUUAACCAAACAAAUGAUUCACUGUCAGUCCAAACAGUCUCCUAACGUUGUUGUAAACGUUCAAAGAUUUUAUUACCUUAAAAAGAACAGAAUUUUAUGAAGCUCCUGUUUUUAUUUUCUGGAUUAUUCCAGAAGUUAGUCUUUGGUUCCUAGAGACCUCGGGGCAAUCCUGGACCAGUGGCAACCCUUUAUGUCUUGUUAGAUGGCUGAUUGUCCCACCCUAUCCAGGCUAAGACAGGAGGAAUAGAUGCUUGGGCAAUGUGGUAACUAUACCUCAAUCAGCUCCUUCUGUAGAAGGUGAAAAUUGGCCAGGGAUUGAGGAAACACUUGGGUAGUGUUUCCAGAUGGGAAGAAUUUGCAGGAUUUUGAUAAACGCCAAGUCCUGAAAGGGUAAUAAAUACAAAAUAUGGGAUCAAUGAAUGGGUUAAAGUUGUCGGGAGAUACAGAAAAUUUCCUGUACUUUCAUAAGAGGCCAGAUAACUUAUCUAAAAGUAAAGACAUACUAAUACUCUCAACCAGGACACUCUGGUUUUUACUAACCAUUACUAACACCACUAAUGGUUAUCUGCUUACUAACAAUGGAGGGAGCUCUCCCCAGCUUUGUAGUGCAUGGAAGCUUGAAUGAUCUGUCACUGCUCAGGGAUGUGAACAAAGAUGUUUCUUUAAAACGUGUCUGUGGGCAUUGAAAGUCUGCCUUUUAAAGGGGCACUGCUGGUCUGGACUGAGGAACCGGCUGGCUGAAACUUGGAGCUUGUCCAAAUUUGGCAAUCACUGAAACAAUUCUGAAUCUGCAGCAAUCGGGUUUAUAUUUUUUAAAAAAGACUUAUAUAUGGGAAUGGGUUCUUACAAACACAGCUCAAAAUCAUGAGUGUGUUUGAAACUUGCUUGUUCAAUGCUAGGUUAGCUGCACUGGGUUUGGUAGGGAGUGAUAAAUUGGCUCUGAGCUGAGAAUGGAAUAAUUGGGCAAGAACUCCAGCUUUUAAAUGCUAGCCGGUGCUUCCGACUGAAUGGGAGGUGAGGGGAAAAUUGGGCUCAUCUUUGACAGUCCAUCUUAAUUGAUAUCUUGCCCUGCUCAUCUGUGUAACUGCAGUAAUUGGGCCAGAGGCAGCCUUGAGAUUAUGUCCUCUGUACAAGUCCAAGUGUUCAAGAGAGGAGGUGAAGAGGUAAAUUUGAUGUCGGGUGGACUUGAGGGGAAAGGAACUUAAAAGGAAUGUGAAGAACACCCGUAAAGAGAGGUUUGUGUCCCCAGCAGGUCGAUGGUGCCCCUUUAAAUGUGUUGCCGCAUCAGGAAUGUCUGGCAGCUCGAGCAAUUCCUGAGUGCAAACAUUCAGCAUGGGACAUAACUUGAGUCUUGUAGCUGUGUGCACUCAAAAAGGUUACAAGUGAACCCUGACUUCCUCAGGUUUUGUGUUCUCGUUCCACUUCCAUACAUUAUUGUUCCUCAGACAUGGCAGCUGCGGCAAUGUGUAUUGCUUGCUUGAAGCACCUUCUGUCUGUGCUCCAUGUUGGAUAUGAUACCGCUGCGCAUUCCUAUGUCUAUCAAUGUGCCAGUGUUAACUUUGCCAAAUGAUUGAAGCAGAGCCCAGCUUUGCAUCUACAACACGUGCUGCUUAAAGUGUUAGGAACUGGAUCCCUAUUAACAAACUGGUUGUUGAGGCCAGUACAGAAUCCUGAAACAAGCACAAAAUCAUCAGCCCCGAGACUGACUUGUUCUCUGCUGCUGCCACUAUUCUCAUUCUUGUUCUCAAAAUCUCUUCAUGGCCUUGCUCCCUUCCUAUCUCUGUAACCUCCACCAUUUCUCCAAUCCUCCCAGAUAUCUGUGAGCCCCUGAUUCUUGUCUCUAACAAAUCCUUUACUGUUCACAGCCUAAGUAAUGGGUGCUUUCCCAAACGCUUACUAGCUGUCUUCUUCCUUAGACCACUCCUUAAAGCUUUUUGCUUUGAACAAGCUUCUGGCCAGCAGGAUAAUAUCUUCUUCUGCAACGAGCUGUUGCACUUUUUUUAGCCAGUGCUUCUGUAAUCGCUUUACUGUGUGAAAGCUGCUUUAUAUAUGCAAACUGUCACUGUUGUCCCCAUCUCCAACAUUGUUUGUCAGCAAUUUAUAGGGUUAAACACUGGACAGUCAUCUCAAACUUGAAGCUUUUCCCUUUUCAGAUCAAAUGAGUUGGACGUUCUCAAUCCAGCUAAAUGCAGAACCAUGGUUUCCAACAGCACUUAAUCCACAAACAAAUGGCUAUAGAAGUCCCCAAGGUGCAGUAGAGCGAAACUUUACAUUCAGCCAGUGUCAUACCCUGACAUUAUAAACACACAGUGCCUAAAAUUGGAAGUGUUGCAGAUCAAUGAUCCUUUUUGAGAAGCACGUUCUGUUGAAAAUAUUAAGCAAGGCACAUUUCUGCUGAAUGUUUGCAAAGAAGAGGGAAUGUGGGGCUUGCAAGCAGGAAAUUCCUGAUGGUUCUUUUUCGGGGAUGGUGGGCUGAAAGAGCAGAUCUUUGCAGACCCAUAUUCUCGUGUGUCUGUGCGUGCCUCUUGUAUUGUAUUGCAUUGCAUCUGAUCUGACAGACGAAUAACAAGCACCAGGUGUGCUUGCUGCUCUACUAACCUAAUUAAUGAUUACUAACAAAAACUGGUUAAUGCAGACCAACCGUCCACCCCUGGGACCCUGAGGGAGAGAAAAUCCUGCACCAUUUGGGUUCUCCCCACCACAGCACCCCCCCCGCCCAUGUUGUGAAACCCACCUCCUCCGAUAUGUUCUGUUCAAUAGGAGUUAGUGCAGGAUUAAACUUGGAUAUGGACCUUUAUACUAUCAGGAUGUGGAGAGAUACAGCCUCCAGCCUAGAAGAGGGAAGGCUGUCGAGUGUACAGAAUGGACUGUAGAAAGAAGCACUGGGGACUGAGAGCAUCAUAAGGUCAAAAGAGAGUUGAUUAUAUAUGUCUGGAGCAAAGUUGGAUGAAGGGAUGAAUUCCAUUGAGUCGCUAUCAAUCUUCAACCAUUACUUGAACAGAACCUUGGUGGAGUGAGUGAUGUGAAACAUUGUUCCUUCACUCCAGUUGUCCUGUUAAGAGUUACAAAGGGAAGCCAUAAGAACCCUUUUAGAAUCUUCAGGCUGAUGUUUCUUAGGCUUUGGGACACAGUGGUCAUUGCCGACCCAGAACUUUCUGUUUCUGCUGCUUUUGAAGUGUGGUAUGCAAGCAUCCAUUAGUGGUCCAAUGUUACGCUUUUGAAUGCCAGACUAUUAGAGUUAGCAAGUGAGUGGCUUCAGAGUUUCCCUUUGAAUAGGUGAGUGGAUUAAUGCAUCAUCUAGGGUGGUAAGGAGCUACACAAUGCAAAGAAGUUUCCCGGUCUGAUCCCACGGCUUUGUGAAAUUAAUUCUCAAGCAGGUCAGUUUGAGUGGAGUCAGAUUUGUCUUCUGCGUUCCUGAUUUUCAAAGGGAAAAUAAGCCAGAAUUUGUCCUUGAUUGUCAUGCAGUCGGCUCCCUAAAAGAUCCAUGCUUCUGAACACAGAACGAGGUUAGGAUUGUGGUCCACUAUGAUAAUUCCCCCACACCUGCAUUUCAUGCUGACACUUGCUGUUUGCCAGGGAACGAUUGGUUGGGUUACAGAUAGGCCACUCGCAGUAGAGGAGGAAGCAACCUGGUCAUCAGGCCUCCCGAGGAGAACCAUCCACAAAGCCCCAUUCUCUUUCACUUUCCUUGUAUGGUUCUCAAUAUGCAAAGACUUACUCCUGCAUUGUUUUCUCAAUUCCUAACAGCACAAUUGAAUACAAGAAGACUCUCUCCCUGGUUUAUUUUGAUCGUGCUCUGCAAUGGGCAGCCUCAAUAUGUUUCACUGUAUCUAAGCUGAUGCAUCCUGGAUUCUGUGCCCACCCACUCCUGUUGACCCACACCAGCAAUGCCUCCAAUUUGAAAUGAUCACACCCUUGGUCUUGUUUAAGUCCUUCCUUGUCUCCUACCUCCCUCCAACCCCAGCCCAUUUCUGGGACUUCCUCCAGCCUUGUGUUUCCAUUUUAGUUCCUGUACUUCCCAUUGGCUUACUCCAAAAGUGGGGCCCGUACCCUCAGCUGCCCAAGGCCCAGGUAUUGGAAUUCCCUCCCUUCCUCAGAAGGCGCAUCAGCCCUGCUCCUGCAAUAUUCCACAGGAGCUGUCACCUGUACGAGUAGCACUGCCAUAGCUGGCAGUUCCACAGUGGCAGAGACAUUGAAGCUUUUCUCGGUGAGUCUCCCACUUGGUGUGGAACAGAACUUAAAGCAUCCCUAUUGUCACAAUCUUCUCUGUCAUCACAUUGGUACCCUGUUCAUCUGCUGGAUUUGCCUCUUCUCCAGAAAGCCCUUGUACCCACUCACAGCACCACCUGCUGUAGACAAGGUCAGACAGUAAGUGACAGCAGAACAUGGGUUGAGAUAACAACACAUUAACAACCUGUUCUCAUCUGAAAUAUUUUAUUCAUUUGACAUCUGUAGAUAAUGGUAUUUAUUGCCAUCCAUGAAUUAUUUGCUUGAGAGACUGCAGUUUUUCUGUCAAAAGUUUGCCCACUGUACUCUUAGGGAUGGAGCUCCAAGAUUUAGGCCCAGUGAUGAUAUUUUAAAAAAAAAACAAAUAUUUCCAAUUGAUGUUGCUGUACAACUUGGAGAGGAACCUGUAGUGUUUCUCAUGCUUUUGUCCUUCUGGGUAGUAGAAGUUGCAAGUUUGGGAGGUCCUGUCAAAGUUGAAUUGGCAAGUUGCAGUAGUGCACUUUUCAUAUGGUGAACCACGAUGACAGCACACUUUUCAUUGCAACCGUGUGGUCCCAGAAGCCUGAGAAAUCAGCCUGGUGGGAGGUGGCAGAAUCUAGGGGACCUCAGGAGGAGGGGGAUUGGGUGCAGGGAAAAUCAAAGGAAUUACAGCAAAGAAUUAGGCUUCAAGUUAGUCAUUUGUUUUUAAUUGCAUCCUCCCAGCACUCAAACUGAAUUUACUUUGAGUGAAGUUGCCUUGACGUUGAUUAGUUUGACUAUUUUUGAGUGACUCGACUGAUGUGUUUGUGGGGUUUACUGCUCCCUGAUAUGUAUACAAGGUUUAUCCCCAAGAGAUGCCUUUACAGCAUCUUCAUCCUCAGCAGCUUUUGCAUUUACACUGGGCUUUUAUUUGUAUUGUCCCUUUUCUCAGUGUUCUAUUCUCCUUUCUUUACCUCAAAUUAUCACUCUGUUGCAGUUUCACCUCCCCUUCUGUCUCAAGUUUUCUUUCCUCUUCACUGUUCCUGUUGUUAAUUGAUCAUGCCCCUUUGCAUUUCUUUCUUGGUUUGAUCUUAUUCUGAUCCAUUUAUAAGACCACCAACCAACCCCUUUAUGUUCAGUAAGGUCACAGCUGAUCUUCCACUGCAGACGUACUUCCCCUUGGUUCCCUUUUGAGUGCAAAAUUCUAUUCAUUUCAGCCUUGAAUAUCCUCAGUGACUCACCAUCCACAUCCCUCCAAGGCUGAAGGAUUUCCCUUCUGUUUAUUCAUUCCUUUUUCUCUCCUAUCGGCUUGCAUUUCCACUGUGCAAGCUUCCAGUAACAGGUGCAUCAAAUAAAAUUUGUAUUUAAGGACUGAGGACCAUAUACCACUGAAUCACAAAGUAAUAACCCAAACCAAAGAGCAAUUAGGGAGGUCUCCGUGAGGCUGCUAACAUAUCUGGGGUGUUGGUGAGUCUGUAUAUGGCAGUCACUGGAAGAAUCUAACACCUACUAAUAACACUAACACAGUAUUUGGGAAACGAGUACCUAAAAGGGGUAAAUCUUCACUCUGACUUCAAGCACUUUAAGACCAUUUGUGAGGACUAUGCAUUGAAAUCUGAAGAACUUGACUUGGGAGCACUUAAAAGCAUUUAAAAACUUGUUAGCAAAUUAUUUCUGUCUUUGCAACUUGAUGGUUUGAAAUGACUUGAAAGAGGACACAAAUGUUCAAGGGGUUAAGUCAGAAACCCAAACAAAGAUGGGAGAAAAAGUAAAGUGGUCCUUUCAACAUCUGCUAUGUUGCUUGUAAGGGUUGGGUUUAAGGUGAAUCUGUGCAGCCUUAGUCCAGGACCCAUGGAAUAUAGGCCCAUGAUACAAGAUAGAGCACCAGAUUAGAACAGUCAUUCACAGGCCUACUAAUGGAGAUAAGCAGUGUCACAUUACUACAGUUGUGCCAGGACUUGUUGCUGAGGGUCACAAAGGGGCACUUUACACCUAACCCUGCCAUACCUGGCAGGGCUUGAUAUUGGUACUGAUGGGGUGGUUAAUGUUAGUGUAACCCACUGCUCGGGGAAACCUGCAAGACUGGGUGCAACAAAAGUCAUUUGACCAUGAGGCAGUUACAGACAAGCAGCUGUUGUAUUUGUAUUUGAUUCUUCUUCACUCAUGCCAAAAGAGGCUCAUGGCUAACAUCCUCAUUGCCAGAUCAAGGGGUAGCAGGUGGUGUGAACCAAGUGACAGCAGCAUCAGUCAGCCAAUUAAAAGGUCAUGCAGGGAUCUGAAGGGGACAAAGCUCUCGAUACAUGUACCCAAAGCAAGUGAUGUGUACGGUCUCCAUCUUAUUGUCAUAGAUAUGUCCAAAACAGGUGGAGUUAGUUUCAAAGGUGGUUUUGUCAUUGUGUGACCUUCCUCCUCUGAGUCCACCAUACAGUACACCGUUAAAGUCCUACCUGUCACAAGUUCAAUUGACCUACAAUGUAAUGCUCUGAUAUAAAGCCCCACACAUACAGAAUGGUGCCAUCUGAUCAGAGAUACAGACCAUGCUAUUUGUGUAACACUGCUUUAUAGAGCAUGUUGAUAUGACUCCCAGUAGCUUAACAUUUUCAAUGUAAAAUAUGAUAAAUGAAGAUUUAAAAAAAAACAGGGAAGUCAAGCAGUCUUUUUCCCUCUAAAAGGAUAAAAGAAGUUUUGUGUAGUCACCCCUUUGGACCGACCUCACUCCCAAUCUGUCUUUCCUCCAUUCAGCAUACUGUUUGAUCACCAGAGCUUAAUACCCUCUGCACACUGCUUCCCAUUAAUGGCACAAUGAGCCUAGCUGUUGAGUGAAGACAUUCUGAUUUCCCUUCAUAGUCCUGACUACUUGGUUUUCAAACUACGUCCCUUGGUAUUUGAGCCUUUAACCAUGGCGAAUAUUUUGAUUGGAUUAAUUAAUUGGUUAUUUAUAGAUUGAGACCCUGUUUGCAAUACUGUACGGGAGAGAUUGUGAAUUCUGCUUUAAAGGUCCUUUCAGAGAAGGAAUUCCAUGUCCUCUUUGCAUCGCCCCUAGGGUACCAAAAGCCACAUUUUGACAUAAUUUAUGCCACAGUGCUUGGGUCUUUAAAUAUAAGAUGUUUGGUAAAUACUUUUUAUUGAUGAAAAUGCCCCUUUAAAUAAAACUGGUAAUAAUAUAAUGCAUUGUUAUAUUUUGCUGUUACUGGGUGAAGGUCAAGUAAUGCAGCAGGCAUACAACAGCUUUGAUUUUCCAGCUUGUGCUAUAUUGGAAAGAUGAUAGUUUGCACCCCCGCCAAUAUAAUCUUCACACCCUGCUUAUGAAAUUAAAUCUUUUUUUAUGCAAACAUGAGUGUUAAAGAAUGCCUCCGUUUUGUCUAUAUUUCCACUGGUGAUGACCAUCUCUAUGUGAUGGCUGGCGGGUAUUUUUAUCAUCCAUUUCCCUCGAGUGUCAUUGAUCAACAGCUAUUAACACCUAUGUAAACUGUGUCUGAGUUUGGGACACGGAUGGUGGAAUCCUAGGAAUUUAUGGCACAGGAGGAGAUCAUUUAGCUGGUUGUGUCUGGAUUAUCCUGAGGGAUUAUCCAACCCAAUCCCACUCUCUAUCUCUUGGACUGUGAUCUUGUCAGCCUGUGCUUUUCAGAAUGAACCCAGAAGAUGGAAACCUGAAGUGAAAUGGAAAACAUUUGAAAUACUGAGCAGGUCAGACAUCAUCUGUGGAAAGGAAAGUAGAAGUAAUGGCUCAAAAGUUUGAAUUAACUGUUCCUUUCUUCACAGAUGCUAUCUGACUUGCCAGGUGUUUCCAGCAUUCUGUUUAGUUUCAGUCUGAACCACAUCCAAUAGAUUGAUGUUUUUAAAAUAUAUUUUUUUCCUUCCCUUGUUCUUCCAUUUUUCAAGGAGAAUCUUAACUCCUUCCUCCAAUCAGGGAAAGGCAACAAUUUGUUUCACCAGUGACAUUGCAGCUGUGGGGUCAGGCAGUGCAGAAUUCAAGUAGGGCAAGAUUGACUGUGUCCAUGUGGGAGAUUUAUUCCUUUCUCAACACUCCUUCCCCACCCACUUCCCUCUCCUCCCUCCCCCUCUUGUUUCCUCCUUUCCCCUCUCCUUGCUUCACUUCUCUUCCCCUUACUUCGCUCUUUCCUCCCACAGAUGGAAAGCCUUGCUUCCAUGACACGACUCGCCAUCCGGUGGGCUGUUUUGGGAAGCCAGUAGAUUCUGAGAGUCCAGUAAACUUUUGGAACUCUAAACUCAACCAACGGAAACAACUCACUUUGAACGAUAAGUUGUGAUUUGUUACGUUCCAUUUUAUUCAGUUUUUUUCCCUUCCUGUCCUAAAGCUGCUGACAUCCCUUGAGUUCCAAUUGUACCAGCACUAUUAACACACCCUGUACCUUCCUUCAUCUCUCUCUCCCAAUCUCCCUUCCCAAAUGCCCCAGACAAACUAUAGGCAGUCCCUCUCAUCAACAGAAUUAAGACAGGGGUCUUCUAACACACAACACCUCCUGGAGUACUAGACAUUCAUUAGGAAAGAAGUUUCAGUCAUUGGACAAUCCCUGGAGAAGGUCUGGCUCAGCAUGGACUGGAGUCUGAAAUGGGAACUCUACAAAUCAGUCUGACACAGUACUCCACUGAACAAAGCAACUAUCUACUGCACUGUAACUACACAUAGUCCCCUGGUUCUAGCCAUCAUUAACCACUUCGACACCCCCUCACCUGAGAUCCUUGCUGUGUCUCCCAACUAUAAGAUUCUUACUGGUGACCGUAAGCCACACAAACUGGAUUGAGUUUUAAUGGCAGCCAUCUCUGUUAAUCUAAAGAAGGGUGUUCUCUGACGCUUCAGGGCAAUGGUACAAGAGUGGACACUGCAAAUUAUUUCAUGAUCUCUUAAAUGGUGGCAGCACAAUUCAAGUCCUGUGCUUCUAUACUGAACUAUACUGCCUUCAAAGUCAAACAGUAAACAAGGCCACAUGAAAACAUGCCAACUUUUCCUGAAUUAAACAUCAGUUGUAAUAUUCAGACCAUGUAUUACAAUCACCAAGAGAGACCUAUUUUGCAGUGCAAGUAUGUUGUUUAUGAAAUAGUGCCACAUUACCUUAACAAGCAAUCUGCUGAAUAUGAAUGUAACAACAGCUGUUUAAAAACUCUGUAAUUUUUGGGAGUAUGCAGCAUGGAGUUCGCACAGAUUUUGUUUCUGUCAUUCCAAUAUUUUCUUGAAUCUGUUAAAUGGGAAAUAAAAAGUAAUUAAUUGUGGAACCA